This 497-nucleotide ribosomal RNA is filed under the name uncultured bacterium. Its description in RNAcentral is "partial 16S ribosomal RNA". It matches the Rfam family "Bacterial small subunit ribosomal RNA", at positions 28 to 507 of the family's 1533-position model. The record is from RNAcentral.
GAUGAACGCUGGCGGCGUGCCUAAUACAUGCAAGUCGAGCGAACAGACGAGGAGCUUGCUCCUCUGACGUUAGCGGCGGACGGGUGAGUAACACGUGGAUAACCUACCUAUAAGAUUGGGAUAACUUCGGGAAACCGGAGCUAAUACCGGAUAAUAUAUUGAACCGCAUGGUUCAAUAGUGAAAGACGGUUUUGCUGUCACUUAUAGAUGGAUCCGCGCCGCAUUAGCUAGUUGGUAAGGUAACGGCUUACCAAGGCGACGAGGCGUAGCCGACCUGAGAGGGUGAUCGGGCACACUGGAACUGAGACACGGUCCAGACUCCUACGGGAGGCAGCAGUAGGGAAUCUUCCGCAAUGGGCGAAAGCCUGACGGAGCAACGCCGCGUGAGUGAUGAAGGUCUUCGGAUCGUAAAACUCUGUUAUUAGGGAAGAACAAAUGUGUAAGUAACUAUGCACGUCUUGACGGUACCUAAUCAGAAAGCCACGGCUAACUACGUG